CUUUGACAUGUUCAAAAAGAACUUUUUUAUUAUAAACAGAAGGCAUCAAAAACAAAGCAACGUCUUUCCCUCAUUUCCAAAAUGAUUUAGGAGUCAUCAAUCAUUUGUAUAACUCUAAUAUGUACAAAAUAACCUUUCAAACUCCUGAGAACUAAAUAUAAAAAAAUGAACAUGAGAAGAUAAAAAGCACAUGUUAACUAAGCGUGAACAUCCUCUGCUUAAUGUUCUGGCCUUAUAUAAAAAUAUGUUUAUUCCAUAGACAAAUAUCUCCUGCCAGAAUAUGUACAAAAACAUAAUAUAUACCGCAACUGGCCACCGUAACACUCACAAGUGCUACUGUUGUAAAUAUCCAGUGAGUUUGCACCAUUGCUGGUGCUUUUAAACUUGCAAAAACAAGAGUCGUCUUGUUAAAGAAAGGCAAAUCCAGAAAAUACAGUAAUAACAGGAACACAAAUUACACUUCUGGAAUACAGAACAGAAAAGCGUGUCAUUGAAUGGUGAAAAAAUAAAUAUCUGAUGCUUUUAUGUACGGCCAAAGGCUUCUAAAUAUAUAUAUAUAUAUAUAUAUAUAUAUAUAUAUAUAUAUAUAUAUAUAUAUAUAUAUAUAGAAAAGGAAGAAAUGUGUUUUAUGUAGUAAAUGUACAGCUUUGUACAUUUAUACAACUUCGUGAAAUUGUGUACAUUGACCAUGCAUGCAAGAGUCAGAAAAAUUUAAGAAAUAAUAAUAAUGCAUAAAAAAUAAAAAGGAUUUGUGUGUGUGUGUGUGUGUGUUUUGAACCUUUCUAGGUGAAAUGAGAAAAAUAGGCAAUUAAAAUAAUGAAAAUACUGGGGUUAAAUGCACUAUAAAAAAUUCUGGAUGUCAAAAUUCAAUUUUAUAUUGAUUUAUGCAUUGUUCAUUAGCUGAGCUAACUGAAAAUUUUCAAUGCAACAAUGAACAGAAAAUGCUGAGUUUUGACCUCCAAAUUCUUUUACAGUGUGGUAAACUCUUACGAUAUGGUCUUUUUAACAUGAUUCAAGACUUUCUUUCUAAUAAUUAGCGAUACAAAUAACUGCCCCGUUAAGAUACAGAUAGGAAGCAGACCAAUCUGUUGAACGAAAAAAGAUUUUUGUCUUGAAAAUGCAAAACAGAGGUUACUGCAGCUGUAGCAACAUAGCCGCUGAUUUAUGAACAAUGGAUCCAAGCAUUAGCAACUGCCGUAUCUUUUUCAACAGGCAUGCAACGUGCGACCAACCUUGCGUGCUUGCAAACAGAUGCUCAGCACAACUCGGAGACGGAAUGGAGUGAGGUCUGUUUGCAAGAGGGCAAAAAUAUUAAUUACAAAGUUCGAUCUUUGAGUGGAGGCAUGCUAGAGGAAGCCCAUGCUGCACAUGUCUGCUGCGCGCCAGACAGUUUAUUCUGGGAAAUCCAAAGCUCUCGACACAGGGAUGGGAGUAUAUGAGUAACAAGGGUGGAGAGAUGGAGAGAAAAAAAGAAAUCAGCACAAAAUUAAAAGGAGUGAACUAAAUUGGCAAAGGCCACAUGGCUUCGGUAAAACCACUGGUGCCGACCGUGGUCCUUUUGAUCUGUCUCGGUGAACAUCAACCCCCCAUCAGCCUAUGACAGGUCCUCAGCACAACCACAUAAAACCAUUCUUCCAGGACUGCUUCCAUUGCUCUCUAACUUAUCCAUUAAUGAAAAAAGACACUGCUGUAGGAGGGGGGUGAUGAAAUACAUCAAAAUAUAGACCAGCUGGGUGAAAUUGCAUGCGUUGAGUCGAGUGAAACAAACUGUAUUUCUACAAAAAAACUGGUAAUCAGUAUUUUUGUCCUUUUUUCAGAGAGAAAAAAAAAUGUACACAUUUAAAAUUAAUUACAUUUAGCUGAGAAGGAAAAAUGCAUAAUAUAUUUGAAUUACAUUUAUUUUUUAAUAAACUUAAUUUAAUAAACUUAAUGCCACUGGCGAUUUUUUUUCUUGUUUUAAACAUAAACCUAAAAAAGAUCAUUUAAAUAAUAAUACAAAAAUGGAAUCUUAUGCAAUUUCUUCUCGAGAAAAAUGUAUCUUAUUUUAAAGAUAUUAUUAUUAUUUAAAUGUAUUUAAUAAAUUAAGCUGUAAGUAAAAUUAGCACAAUACAUAUUGAAUUAAG
Molecule: long non-coding RNA, 2123 nt
Organism: Cyprinus carpio carpio
Lineage: Eukaryota; Metazoa; Chordata; Actinopteri; Cypriniformes; Cyprinidae
Source: Ensembl